UAAAAAAGAUCCUUUCCCUAUAAGGAGGCUCUCAUCUGUACCUGUCUUCGACUUUGACAUAGACCGAAUUAAAGCUAUGGAUGUUAUUGAUCGAGUGGACACAAUUAGAAGUUCAUGCCAAUCAUGAUUUUGAGGCCAAGAAAGAGGCUUGUGCUUGUGGAGAACGAUCCCAUCUGAUGCAAUGGUUUCUGGUGGGGGAGAUUUUAUGUCUGUUACUGGGCUUAUGAUGAGUGGUGCAAGUCAUUGUUUUUUUGUAUGUUAGAAUUUAAGGUGAUAAAUGUUUUGCUUAAGGGAAAUUAAUUGUUCUGGAAAAUCUCAGGCUAUAGUUUCUGCUUAGUCCUAUGUGUACAGAC
RNAcentral lists this unclassified non-coding RNA (353 nucleotides) under Hevea brasiliensis (rubber tree). Lineage: Eukaryota; Viridiplantae; Streptophyta; Magnoliopsida; Malpighiales; Euphorbiaceae. The record is from RNAcentral.